RNAcentral lists this ribosomal RNA (1343 nucleotides) under uncultured bacterium. RNAcentral's name for it is "16S ribosomal RNA". It matches the Rfam family "Bacterial small subunit ribosomal RNA", at positions 28 to 1378 of the family's 1533-position model. The record is from RNAcentral.
GACGAACGCUGGCGGCGUGCUUAACACAUGCAAGUCGAACGGAAAGGCCCUGCUUUUGUGGGGUGCUCGAGUGGCGAACGGGUGAGUAACACGUGAGUAACCUGCCCUUGACUUUGGGAUAACUUCAGGAAACUGGGGCUAAUACCGGAUAGGAGCUCCUGCUGCAUGGUGGGGGUUGGAAUGUUUCGGCGGUUGGGGAUGGACUCGCGGCUUAUCAGCUUGUUGGUGGGGUAGUGGCUUACCAAGGCUUUGACGGGUAGCCGGCCUGAGAGGGUGACCGGCCACAUUGGGACUGAGAUACGGCCCAGACUCCUACGGGAGGCAGCAGUGGGGAAUAUUGCACAAUGGGCGGAAGCCUGAUGCAGCAACGCCGCGUGCGGGAUGACGGCCUUCGGGUUGUAAACCGCUUUCGCCUGUGACGAAGCGUGAGUGACGGUAAUGGGUAAAGAAGCACCGGCUAACUACGUGCCAGCAGCCGCGGUGAUACGUAGGGUGCGAGCGUUGUCCGGAUUUAUUGGGCGUAAAGGGCUCGUAGGUGGUUGAUCGCGUCGGAAGUGUAAUCUUGGGGCUUAACCCUGAGCGUGCUUUCGAUACGGGUUGACUUGAGGAAGGUAGGGGAGAAUGGAAUUCCUGGUGGAGCGGUGGAAUGCGCAGAUAUCAGGAGGAACACCAGUGGCGAAGGCGGUUCUCUGGGCCUUUCCUGACGCUGAGGAGCGAAAGCGUGGGGAGCGAACAGGCUUAGAUACCCUGGUAGUCCACGCUGUAAACGGUGGGUACUAGGUGUGGGGUCCAUUCCACGGGUUCCGUGCCGUAGCUAACGCUUUAAGUACCCCGCCUGGGGAGUACGGCCGCAAGGCUAAAACUCAAAGGAAUUGACGGGGCCCCGCACAAGCGGCGGAGCAUGCGGAUUAAUUCGAUGCAACGCGUAGAACCUUACCUGGGUUUGACAUGGAUCGGGAGUGCUCAGAGAUGGGUGUGCCUCUUUUGGGGUCGGUUCACAGGUGGUGCAUGGCUGUCGUCAGCCCGUGUCGUGAGAUGUUGGGUUAAGUCCCGCAACGAGCGCAACCCUUGUUCACUGUUGCCAGCACGUUAUGGUGGGGACUCAGUGGAGACCGCCGGGGUCAACUCGGAGGAAGGUGGGGAUGACGUCAAGUCAUCAUGCCCCUUAUGUCCAGGGCUUCACGCAUGCUACAAUGGCUGGUACAGAGAGUGGCGAGCCUGUGAGGGUGAGCGAAUCUCGGAAAGCCGGUCUCAGUUCGGAUUGGGGUCUGCAACUCGACCUCAUGAAGUCGGAGUCGCUAGUAAUCGCAGAUCAGCAACGCUGCGGUGAAUACGUUCCCGGG